Molecule: ribosomal RNA, 406 nt
Filed under: uncultured bacterium
Lineage: Bacteria
Description: partial 16S ribosomal RNA
Rfam family: Bacterial small subunit ribosomal RNA
Source: RNAcentral
AUUGAACGCUGGCGGCAGGCCUAAUACAUGCAAGUCGAACGAGUGGCGGACGGGUGAGUAAUGUCUGAGAACCUGCCUGAUGGAGGGGGCUAACUACUGGAAACGGUAGCUAAUACCGCUUACCAGCAGAUGGGCCCAGAUGGGAUUAGCUUGUUGGUGGGGUAACGGCUCACCAAGGCGACGAGCCCUAGCUGGUCUGAGAGGAUGAGCUGCCACACUGGAACUGAGACACGGUCCAGACUCCUACGGGAGGCAGCAGUGGGGAAUAUUGGACAAUGGGCGCAAGCCUGAUGCAGCCAUGCCGCGUGUAUGAAGAAGGCCUUCGGGUUGUAAAGUACUGUCAGCGGGGAGGCGUUACCCGCAGAAGAAGCACCGGCUAACUCCGUGCCAGCAGCCGCGGUAAUAC